This is a long non-coding RNA of Nicotiana tabacum (common tobacco), 316 nucleotides long. RefSeq lists it as uncharacterized. NCBI's taxonomy places the organism in Eukaryota, Viridiplantae, Streptophyta, Magnoliopsida, Solanales, Solanaceae. The record is from RefSeq and is a predicted model, not a curated record.
UAAUUUCAUCCUCACAUCUCCCCCUCUAAGCCGCCACCCCCCUCCUCCCACUUUCCCAUUUCUCUCUUCCGAGGUGCAUUUUAAUUCUUGAAUGCAAGAAGAUCUAGGAGACUUAAGUUAUUUCUUCCUUGAAUGCAAUCGAGUGGCAACAUUUUCAAUCUCAUGAUCAAUUACUUAGAACUUUUUCUUUUUUGACGUGGAACUCCCUAGAAUUUAUAGAUUAAAGAUAAAAUAUCUAACCCAAUGUACAUAGUUUGUAUUAUUUUAGUUUGACAAAAUUUAAUGUCUAGCCUCCCAUUAGCUAGUUUUUAUUUUA